UGAUUGUGAGGAGGGGGUUCC
RNAcentral lists this unclassified non-coding RNA (21 nucleotides) under Chlamydomonas reinhardtii. RNAcentral's name for it is "small RNA Cre_2980". Lineage: Eukaryota; Viridiplantae; Chlorophyta; Chlorophyceae; Chlamydomonadales; Chlamydomonadaceae. The record is from RNAcentral.